CUGGCUCAGGAUGAACGCUAGCGGCAGGCUUAACACAUGCAAGUCGAGGGGCAGCAUGGGAGUAGCAAUACUUCUGAUGGCGACCGGCGCACGGGUGCGUAACGCGUAUGCAACCUACCUGUAACAGGGGGAUAACACUGAGAAAUCGGUACUAAUACCGCAUAACACUAUGAGAGGCAUCUCUUGUGGUUGAAAGUUUCGGCGGUUACAGAUGGGCAUGCGUUGUAUUAGCUGGUUGGUAAGGUAACGGCUUACCAAGGCGACGAUACAUAGGGGGACUGAGAGGUUAACCCCCCACAUUGGUACUGAGACACGGACCAAACUCCUACGGGAGGCAGCAGUGAGGAAUAUUGGUCAAUGGACGGAAGUCUGAACCAGCCAUGCCGCGUGCAGGAAGACGGCUCUAUGAGUUGUAAACUGCUUUUGUACAAGGGUAAACCUGAAUACGUGUAUUCAGCUGAAAGUAUUGUACGAAUAAGGAUCGGCUAACUCCGUGCCAGCAGCCGCGGUAAUACGGAGGAUCCAAGCGUUAUCCGGAUUUAUUGGGUUUAAAGGGUGCGUAGGCGGAUUGAUAAGUUAGAGGUGAAAUGUCCGAGCUCAACUCGGGAACUGCCUCUAAUACUGUUGAUCUAGAGAGUAGAUGCGGUAGGCGGAAUGUAUGGUGUAGCGGUGAAAUGCUUAGAGAUCAUACAGAACACCGAUUGCGAAGGCAGCUUACCAAUCUAUAUCUGACGUUGAGGCACGAAAGCGUGGGGAGCAAACAGGAUUAGAUACCCUGGUAGUCCACGCAGUAAACGAUGAUAGCUCGUUGUCGGCGAUACACAGUCGGUGACUAAGAGAAAUCGAUAAGCUAUCCACCUGGGGAGUACGUUCGCAAGAAUGAAACUCAAAGGAAUUGACGGGGGCCCGCACAAGCGGAGGAACAUGUGGUUUAAUUCGAUGAUACGCGAGGAACCUUACCCGGGCUUGAAAGUUAGUGACUGAUCCGGAAACAGGUCUUCCCUUCGGGGCACGAAACUAGGUGCUGCAUGGUUGUCGUCAGCUCGUGCCGUGAGGUGUCGGGUUAAGUCCCAUAACGAGCGCAACCCCUACUGAUAGUUGCCAUCAGGUCAAGCUGGGCACUCUAUCGGGACUGCCGGUGUAAGCCGGAGGAGGGUGGGGAUGACGUCAAAUCAGCACGGCCCUUACGUCCGGGGCGACACACGUGUUACAAUGGUAGGUACAGAGGGCCGCUACCCAGCGAUGGGGUGCAAAUCUCGAAAGCCUAUCUCAGUUCGGAUUGGAGGCUGAAACUCGCCUCCAUGAAGUUGGAUUCGCUAGUAAUCGCGCAUCAGCCAUGGCGCGGUGAAUACGUUCCCGGGCCUUGUACACACCGCCCGUCAAGCCAUGGGAGUUGGGGGUGCCUGAAGUUCGUGACCGCAAGGAGCGACCUAGGGCAAAACUAAUGACUGGGGCUAAGUCGUAACAAGG
RNAcentral lists this ribosomal RNA (1470 nucleotides) under uncultured bacterium. RNAcentral's name for it is "bacterial SSU rRNA". It matches the Rfam family "Bacterial small subunit ribosomal RNA". The record is from RNAcentral.